This is an unclassified non-coding RNA of Piliocolobus tephrosceles (Ugandan red Colobus), 100 nucleotides long. It matches the Rfam family "Y RNA". Rfam says of the family: Y RNAs are components of the Ro ribonucleoprotein particle (Ro RNP), in association with Ro60 and La proteins. The Y RNAs and Ro60 and La proteins are well conserved, but the function of the Ro RNP is not known. NCBI's taxonomy places the organism in Eukaryota, Metazoa, Chordata, Mammalia, Primates, Cercopithecidae. The record is from Ensembl.
AUCUGGUCCUAGUGCAGUGCUGUUUACAACUAAUUAAUUACAACCGGUUACAGAUUUUGUUCCUUCUUAAUUUCCACUACUCCAGUUGGACUGAAAGAAA